This 450-nucleotide ribosomal RNA is filed under the name uncultured organism. RNAcentral's name for it is "partial 16S ribosomal RNA". It matches the Rfam family "Bacterial small subunit ribosomal RNA", at positions 330 to 797 of the family's 1533-position model. The record is from RNAcentral.
CGUACACUCCUGCGGGAGGCAGCAGUGGGGAAUAUUGGACAAUGGGCGCAAGCCUGAUCCAGCCAUGCCGCGUGAGUGAUGAAGGCCCUAGGGUUGUAAAGCUCUUUCACCGGUGAAGAUAAUGACGGUAACCGGAGAAGAAGCCCCGGCUAACUUCGUGCCAGCAGCCGCGGUAAUACGAAGGGGGCUAGCGUUGUUCGGAUUUACUGGGCGUAAAGCGCACGUAGGCGGACUAUUAAGUCAGGGGUGAAAUCCCGGGGCUCAACCCCGGAACUGCCUUUGAUACUGGUAGUCUUGAGUUCGAGAGAGGUGAGUGGAAUUCCGAGUGUAGAGGUGAAAUUCGUAGAUAUUCGGAGGAACACCAGUGGCGAAGGCGGCUCACUGGCUCGAUACUGACGCUGAGGUGCGAAAGCGUGGGGAGCAAACAGGAUUAGAUACCCGAGUAGUCCC